Molecule: long non-coding RNA, 276 nt
Filed under: Jatropha curcas
Lineage: Eukaryota; Viridiplantae; Streptophyta; Magnoliopsida; Malpighiales; Euphorbiaceae
Description: long non-coding RNA (JCUR_LNC001884)
Source: RNAcentral
UGUGACCUCCCACGUGCGCACCGCCUCACCUUGAACUCAUACAUGCGGAAAUGAUCGCACGAGAAAGCAUCCACAGCAAAGUCCAAGUCAUCGCUCAACGAAUCAGGCUCAUUUGACGGAAGGUAACGGUGGAGCGCGGUUAAGGAGUCGAGAAAAGGUGAGCUAGUAUUUCCGCAGUUAGCGAAUGGAGAAGGUAACGGUGAUGUUGGCUCGUCGAAAAAAGGGUCCCAGGGAGGGAUUUGGACGGUUGGAUUAGAAUGUGUAGGAGGUUCUCCG